This 215-nucleotide unclassified non-coding RNA is filed under the name uncultured fungus. RNAcentral describes it as "partial contains 18S rRNA, ITS1, 5.8S rRNA, ITS2 and 28S rRNA". Lineage: Eukaryota; Fungi. The record is from RNAcentral.
AAGGAUCAUUACAGUACAACUGUACCAGGUGUUCUGGCUGAAACCCGCAAGGGGAUUAAUCCAACACUGCCAAACCUUGCAAACAAUUAACGUUACCUCGGCGGGUUUGCCCGCCGGUGGCUAAUCUAAACUCUUUUAUUAUGCUGCAAUUAUUAUAAAAGUCUGAAAAUAUAUCAAAUAUAUUAAAACUUUCAACAACGGAUCUCUUGGUUCUG